AUAGUUACCUGAUAGGAGAGAUACCCUAUCAGUUAGGUAAGGCGGCAUUCUCAGGCAAGGCCUACCCAUUGCACUUUCAGGAGGGAAGGGUGACCCCUGCUAUUUCCCCAAAUGUGGGAAAGUCGACUGUAAAUUUUGUAGGAUGCAGGAGACAAUUGACCGGC
Molecule: small nuclear RNA, 164 nt
Filed under: Eptatretus burgeri (inshore hagfish)
Lineage: Eukaryota; Metazoa; Chordata; Myxini; Myxiniformes; Myxinidae
Description: U1 spliceosomal RNA (ENSEBUG00000000063.1)
Rfam family: U1 spliceosomal RNA
About the family: U1 is a small nuclear RNA (snRNA) component of the spliceosome (involved in pre-mRNA splicing). Its 5' end forms complementary base pairs with the 5' splice junction, thus defining the 5' donor site of an intron.
Source: RNAcentral